Molecule: ribosomal RNA, 253 nt
Filed under: uncultured bacterium
Lineage: Bacteria
Description: partial 16S ribosomal RNA
Rfam family: Bacterial small subunit ribosomal RNA
Source: RNAcentral
UACGUAGGUGGCGAGCGUUGUCCGGAUUUACUGGGCGUAAAGGGAGCGUAGGCGGACUUUUAAGUGAGAUGUGAAAUACUCGGGCUCAACUUGAGUGCUGCAUUUCAAACUGGAAGUCUAGAGUGCAGGAGAGGAGAAUGGAAUUCCUAGUGUAGCGGUGAAAUGCGUAGAGAUUAGGAAGAACACCAGUGGCGAAGGCGAUUCUCUGGACUGUGACUGACGCUGAGGCUCGAAAACGUGGGGAGCAAACAGG